This 62-nucleotide transfer RNA is filed under the name Nabis ferus. RNAcentral's name for it is "tRNA-Ala". Lineage: Eukaryota; Metazoa; Arthropoda; Insecta; Hemiptera; Nabidae. The record is from RNAcentral.
GGGGAUGUAGUUAAUAAUAACAUUUAAUUUGCACUUAAAAAGUACUUUUAUAGUCUUCCUCA